RNAcentral lists this transfer RNA (73 nucleotides) under bacterium. RNAcentral's name for it is "tRNA-Ala". It matches the Rfam family "tRNA". Rfam says of the family: Transfer RNA (tRNA) molecules are approximately 80 nucleotides in length. Their secondary structure includes four short double-helical elements and three loops (D, anti-codon, and T loops). The record is from RNAcentral.
GGGCCUGUAGCUCACCUGGUAGAGCGCUACAUUCGCAUUGUAGAGGUAGUCGGUUCGAGUCCGAUCAGGUCCA